Molecule: long non-coding RNA, 1304 nt
Filed under: Piliocolobus tephrosceles (Ugandan red Colobus)
Lineage: Eukaryota; Metazoa; Chordata; Mammalia; Primates; Cercopithecidae
Description: lncRNA (ENSPTEG00000015451.1)
Source: RNAcentral
AACUAUUUCAAUUUUUUUCUAGUGUUCAAAAUGUUAAUAAAACGCAGGAUGAUACUGAUUAUAUCAAUAAUACCAACAACAGUACUACUAGUUAUAUAGGUGGAACCAAUAGUGACAAUAUACAAAAUAAUGUUGAAGAACAGGAAAAAAGGAACAUGUUGUGCUUGGAAAAUAUAAGUGACAAUCCGGGUGUGAAAUGCAUAAGUGAUAAGUCGCACGCGCAACUAACUGAAGAAGAACAAGCAUACAACAUGGAAACCUUCAUUAAGGAAAAAAAAAGCUUAUUUGUAGAAUAUAUAAAAAAUGUAAAAAUGUUUAAGCUGGAGCAUAUAAUUAUAAGUAACACAAUAAAAAGUGACAUAUUGCAUAUAAAGAUUUUACCAUAUAAUGAAGAAGUAAUAAAAAAAACUAAAGAAAUGAGUAUAUUUCAUUGGGAUAAAGUCGAAAAUAUAUGGAUAGUAAAAAAAGUGUUUUUUAAAAUUUUUUAUUUAAACAUUAUUAAAUUUUUUGAUUAUAAAAUUUGUUCUCACUAUGAUUAUUAUAAAAUGAUGAAACAAAAGCUAAUUGAUAAUGAGUUAACAAAUUCGAAUAAAUACUCUUUCGGCUUAUGUAGCAACAAUUUAAGUAACAUAACUACAAACGUGAGAUCGAAAAUAAACAUUGAAAAAAGAAAAUGUGAUCAGUACCUUACCAACACUAGUCCCAAUACUUUUUCUAAUCAAACGAAUGUGACAAAAAAAAAAAAAAGUAGUAAAGAGAAUUUAUGCUAUGACAAUACAGACUCGUCGUAUUCCGAUGAGUUGUCGAAUCAUGUUGAUUCGAGUUAUUACGAAGGUAGAGAAUCUGUUAACAAAAUAAAAUUAACGGCUUCAUGUAAAAGUUAUUAUAAAGAUUUGUUAUAUAGCAAAUUAAGAAAAAUAAAAAAACUGAAGCCACCUAAUUAUACCUAUGACCCCAAAGGCUUAAUAACGAAAAACGGUGCAGGAACACAAGGAUUUGAAGUUUUUGAUUUACCUGCUAAUAUCGUCGAAUGGGAUGAAAUUAGUUUUUGUAUAGUACCAGAUGAAAAUAAAAAUGUCGACUUAUACGACCCCAAAAUAUUAUGUAGUUUAGUUAGUGAUGUAUAUUUACUUAAAGAAAAAGCUAUAGAUGUAAUUUUAAAAAAAUAUAGUAAAUGGCCUGAAUAUAAUGAUGUAUUUUGGAAUACUCUGUGUUCUGAAAAUGAAUUUAUUAUAGGUAAUAAAAAUUUCAAUACAAGACAAAAAUUAGCACAUGAUAGGUUGUUUCAUAAACAAUAUUUUUAU